This 67-nucleotide transfer RNA is filed under the name Pentatoma semiannulata. RNAcentral describes it as "tRNA-Arg". Lineage: Eukaryota; Metazoa; Arthropoda; Insecta; Hemiptera; Pentatomidae. The record is from RNAcentral.
AGAUAAUGAAGUAAAAUUUACAUUUAGUUUCGACCUAAAAUUAGGAAUCUCUACAUUCCCUUAUCUA